UACGGAAGGCAGCAGGGGGAAUAUUGCACAAUGGGCGAAAGCCUGAUGCAGCUAUGCCGCGUGUAUGAAGAAGGCCUUAGGGUUGUAAAGUACUUUCAUCGGGGAGGAAAAAACAAAACUAAUAAUUUUAUUUCUUGACGUUACCCGAAAAAGAAGCACCGGCUAACUCCGUGCCAGCAGCCGCGGUAAUACGGAGGGUGCUAGCGUUAAUCAGAAUUACUGGGCGUAAAGAGCACGUAGGUGGUUUUUUUAAGUCAGAUGUGAAAUCCCUGGGCUUAACCUAGGAACUGCAUUUUGAAACUGAAAUACUAGAGUAUCGUAGAGGGAGGUAGAAUUCUAGGUGUAGCGGUGAAAUGCGUAGAUAUCUGGAGGAAUACCUGUGGCGAAAGCGGCCUCCUAAACGAAUACUGACACUGAGGUGCGAAAGCGUGGGGAGCAAACAGGGAUUAGAUACC
Molecule: ribosomal RNA, 455 nt
Filed under: uncultured bacterium
Lineage: Bacteria
Description: bacterial SSU rRNA
Rfam family: Bacterial small subunit ribosomal RNA
Source: RNAcentral